RNAcentral lists this long non-coding RNA (4430 nucleotides) under Nicotiana tabacum (common tobacco). Its description in RNAcentral is "long non-coding RNA (NTAB_LNC004368)". Lineage: Eukaryota; Viridiplantae; Streptophyta; Magnoliopsida; Solanales; Solanaceae. The record is from RNAcentral.
CACAAAAAAGUUAUUCUUAUCAAUAAAUGUCAAAUUGCUAUAUAAAAAGCUAUUAAUUACAGAGUUAACAUCCCAUGAUGUUAUAUAGUUUCAAUAUUUGCUCAACACCUUAACAAAAAAACUUAGCUAACAUCCUAAGCUAGAUUAUGAUAUCAUGUUUUACAUAACAUUCCUAGCAAAAUAAUAAUAAGGUUGUGUUCCUUCUAAACUUUCAUCUUGACUUGUAGCUUCAAUCUUCAAAACCUGUAAGUAAAAAUUUUGAAAAGACGAUGAAUAACUAUUGAUGAAAUAAUAUAUGUAAAUUUACACUAGCAAUGGUUAAAUUGCUUACCCCAAAAGCAGUGUAAAUUCAUCAGGUGUUAUCCAACAACAACAUCAAAAGUGCUACAAGAAUAUAAGGAAAUUAAUUAGAAAAGUUUUGGAACAGUAAAUCAAACUUCGAUUCGAUAAAAGAAUCGAAUCGGGGAUUUGUACAAUGUUAGUAAGUCCCUUUUCUCCUAGACUUACUAUUCUUAAAACCUGUAGACUUCAUUUCAGUAUGUUUGAUUUAUCAAUUUUUCAAACAAGAAAAAUUAAAUCUUUCUUUACAAAAUAAGUAAUUUAGACGUCAAUUAUUAAUGAUUUGAAACCAAAAAUUAGCUUUCAAAGGUGCCUGUUCGAAAGUGAAAAUUAAUUUUUGAGGACACAAGAUUCACCAGGGUAAGACACAAAAGAACAUUAUUAGAACUUUCUCAACAUGCAGUUUCAUGUUGUAAAAACGCAUAUUAUCUUGUAUACUUUUUUUUCCUUUUAAUGAUAAGCUAGUCUUACAUCCUAUUUGACAUCCUAAAGUAUACAUUCUCAGGUAUCUGCAUAAGGUCUUAUACAUUUUGAAACAUAUUCUAUCCCUAUGUCUCUCUGAUGUACUAUGAAGCAAAAUCAGUUAGUUUUCGUGCAUCAGAAAUAGGAUAACGAACAAACUGUCGAUGCUGAUUAAAAACCAUUGGUAGACAACAAUUCAGAUUUGAGAAUGAAACGGAACUGUAUCUGAAUAUGACAAAGAAAAUGACAAUGCUAAUCGAACACCAACGACAGACAACAAUCAAGAUUGGCGAACGAGAGUAAGUGAAUCAGAAACCCAUGCAUUAUCCUCAAAAAAUUCAACACUGAUCUUAUUUUCAAUACACGUGAUUAAUAAUGUGGUUAUGAGCAUCCACAUAUUUGUCAGAUAUUAUUACCUGGACUUACUAUUGUUAAAACCUGUAGCCUAAUUCCUUAUCAUAUAUUUCUCCUUUAUUAGUCAAUAACUUGAUUAUAGUUUCCACAACUGCUUGUAAUUGAUUAUAGCCUAAUGCAUUUGAUGAACUUAACAGCAGUUAAGGUUGAGGCCUCAAUAAUGUCGGGACGAGUAACCCUCAAUGCUCAGAUUUUCUACUUCCAACUUCGUGAACCCAAACUGUUAUUCCCAUCAUUGAGGCUCAUUCAUUUAUAAUAUUGCAACAAAUAUAGCAAUAAGAUAGAAAUGGCUAUAUAAAUAUCAACAAAAAGAAUUAAAAAGCAGGGCAUACUGUUACUAACUUGAUCAGCCGAAAAAAGUCAUCAUUCAGCUUAGCGAUGUCGUAGGCGAGACAUGUGAUUGUUGAGCAGCGAAAAAUUUCCUUAUUUUCUUCAUUUCUUUCAUCUCAAGAUAUGAUCACGAUGAUCAUUCAUGUCAACACUCUCAAAUUUAUCCUACAAUAAUCAAAAUAUCCAUUUAGUUAAUGCACUGUUCAAGAAGCAGUUCAUUGUGCAAGUUUAAGAAGAAGUUCAUUCAUAGUCUCAAAAUUUAUUUUAGUAUCAUCACCAAAUCGGUAAACUGACAUAGGAGUUUCAUCUCGAAAGGACUAACAUAGUUAUCCAAAGAGCACACCGUUCCCUGGUGCAUGCGCCCACAUUUGGCAUCUCUGUCCCUAUCACUAACUGGAGCAUAACUUCACACGCCACAUGUACGGAGGUCAUUGUGCCUACAUUUGGCAUCUCUGUCCCUAUCACAAACUGGAGCGUAACUUCACACGCCACAUGUACAGAGGUCAUUGUGUAUGUCACGUCAACAAUAUGUCCGCAUUCUCUGUCCACAUCACUAGAACAUGAAUUUGGAUUGACCCCUAGCAUGUUGACUUGCUUCUUCUCCUAUCAAAAUUCUAUAUUGCCUCCAUAUGGUUGUAUACAUUGACAACAGUGUCAUUACUAGCAUAAACAGAAAUAAUUUGAAAAAACAAAUAAACCAACUUUGUUUUAUAUUGCCUUGAAACAGAGUUGCAUUUCUAUUUCCACAAGGUUUGCAACACCUCACUGAUCAAGCUAAAUCACAAAAAGAGCAUCACGAAAGAGGCAUGCUGGACCAUAUCCAAUAUUGCUAGGGACAAAAAGAGCAUGUCGCAAUUGUACCCCAAUAGCUACCCACAUGUGAUUCAACUUUUCUUGCUUAAUAUCAUUUCAUGAUGAUACUCCCAGCGGACACAUAUUGCGGUCACAAACUAUUCUACCCAAGUGCCUCGAAAAUAGUUUGUUAUUUGUUCCAAUCGUUCGAUUGUUGUAAAAGGUUACUUUCAGCUUUUGUCCGACUUCAAGUGAUGCAACUUCUUUGCGCUUGUUCCUACCUCAAACUCUUUUUACCUUUUCAGGAUUAGAUGAACCUAUAGUUGGAUAAUUUGGUAAAACUAUAGCAACAAAAUUUAGUUUUACAAAUUAAUAACACAUGGAUUCAAAAUGUCAUACCUGUUUCAACUGUUUGAGAGUUUUUCAUAGCUUGAUCACUAGAUGGAGACAAUAAAAUAUUGGUCCGCAUAUGCUCUUUCUUAAGAACCAAUGAGUUUUUAUCCAUUGUUCGCAUUUCUUAAUUAGAAGACAUGGUAAAAUUCGAUCUUGUGCUUUUAGGAGUUUGCAUACGUUGAUUAGCAUAAACUGCAUUCUUAUGGAAAGAUCCCACCUCAUUUUCAGAAAUCCCUAAAGAGGGGCACAAAGAUCUAGGCGUUUGCUCCCGUUCCUUCCUUAUAGCACCUGGACCCAAGAAAUCAUAUUAGUAAAAAAUAUGGCAUUUAAUUAUAUAUGCAAUUAAUUAACUGAUAGCUCAAUGAUAUCAACUACAGUAUAAAUUAGCAACAUUCAAAAAUCUGCAACUCCAACAAGAUAAUAGGAAUCAAACAAGCCAUGAUCCAACAUACCCAAAAUUUAUGUGAAUCAAAAGGUUGCUUAAGACGAAUAAAGGGGAAAUUUCUUUGCAGAAAUUCUAAGAAAGCAAUAACUUACUGUCAAAAUUUCACUUAAAUAGUGUUGGUCAAGGUUAAAGGUUGAAGAAACAGAAAGGCAUAAUAUUCUGAAAUAGUACCAAUCCAAACACACUUAGAUUAUAGAGCAAAUGAUCAACCAAACCACUACAAUAGGAAUCAAACAGCUGAAAUUUGAAUCAAACAGCUGAAAGCUUAAACAAACAUGGAAGAAGGAAGUAAACAUAGGAGAUGAGAAUGAAAGAAAUUUCUAUAACUUCUUGCCUACUUUUUCCUUCCAGUAUCUAGUUACUUAUACUAACUCCCAACACCUUCCUUGCCCUUUAUGUGACUUGCCAGAGUAAGAACAAAAUCAGUUAGCUUCUUUGGCACAGUCCUCACAUGCGUGCUCCUUCUUGACGCCACUUUCUGGACAUCUAGGUUGACAUCUUUCUUGUCCAACUCACUCUCCAGCUCAGUAGGCUCUGGGUGCACAACAUUAUCCAUAUAACAAUAGGUGCCUAACCCAACAUAAAACUAAAAUUCUUAUGUGUCUAUUUUUUUCCAAUUUGUAACUGUACGAAUUGCUACAUAUACCCCAAACCUUUCUCCUCCCUCCAUUCAUUGAUAGCCAUUCACCAUAAUAACUACUAUUAACUAGAAUUACCAGUCAAAUUUAAAUUCUCUAAUAAUUGACAAAAUAACCAUUUAUUAGCCACAAAUUCUGCAAUUACAACUUAAAUAGAGUACGCUGCUUUACCAAAUACCUACGACAACUAGUUUACAUCUUGAUUCUAGUAGCCAAUUUGCAAUCUAGAAGUUUUAACUACAAUACAAACCACAUAAAAUAAUAUACCAAAAAAGUACUUUCUACAAAAUAAUUACCAAACCAUUUCAGACUGUGGAGAACAGAGAUUGCAAAACUCCAAACAUUUGACCAAAAUAUUGAAUGACAAGUUGAAAAUGAACUGUUUUCUCAUUUUUUAUUUCAGAUUUGAAAAAAACUUACUUGUUUCAACACAGAAGAGGAGGCAUACUUGGGAUUCGCAAUUGAGGGAGGUCGAAAACUGGGUAGACCUGCGAUACACAAGCCAACAAACUCGCAACAAACUCGAUUUGAGAAAACAAAAUUCUUGAGUCGUGAAUAGAGAGGCAGACGAGUUCUGUGUAUGUUUAAGACACUAGGGCAUAACUUUUUGUUUUUGG